CACUCCUGCGGGAGGCAGCAGUGGGGAAUAUUGGACAAUGGGCGCAAGCCUGAUCCAGCCAUGCCGCGUGAGUGAUGAAGGCCCUCGGGUUGUAAAGCUCUUUUGUGCGGGAAGAUAAUGACGGUACCGCAAGAAUAAGCCCCGGCUAACUUCGUGCCAGCAGCCGCGGUAAUACGAAGGGGGCUAGCGUUGCUCGGAAUCACUGGGCGUAAAGGGUGCGUAGGCGGGUCUUUAAGUCAGGGGUGAAAUCCUGGAGCUCAACUCCAGAACUGCCUUUGAUACUGAAGAUCUUGAGUUCGGGAGAGGUGAGUGGAACUGCGAGUGUAGAGGUGAAAUUCGUAGAUAUUCGGAAGAACACCAGUGGCGAAGGCGGCUCACUGGCCCGAUACUGACGCUGAGGCACGAAAGCGUGGGGAGCAAACAGGAUUAGAAACCCCGGUAGUCCCAUGA
This 450-nucleotide ribosomal RNA is filed under the name uncultured organism. RNAcentral describes it as "partial 16S ribosomal RNA". It matches the Rfam family "Bacterial small subunit ribosomal RNA", at positions 334 to 800 of the family's 1533-position model. The record is from RNAcentral.